This 102-nucleotide ribosomal RNA is filed under the name Xenorhabdus sp. GDc328. RNAcentral's name for it is "partial 23S ribosomal RNA". The stretch from base 1 to 84 matches the Rfam family "Bacterial large subunit ribosomal RNA", at positions 2842 to 2925 of the family's 2925-position model. The record is from RNAcentral. Lineage: Bacteria; Pseudomonadati; Pseudomonadota; Gammaproteobacteria; Enterobacterales; Morganellaceae.
AGACGAGGACGUGGAUAGGCCGGGUGUGUAAGCGUUGCGAGACGUUGAGCUAACCGGUACUAAUGAGCCGUGCGGCUUAACCUGACAACACCGAAGGUGUUU